This 253-nucleotide ribosomal RNA is filed under the name uncultured bacterium. RNAcentral describes it as "partial 16S ribosomal RNA". It matches the Rfam family "Bacterial small subunit ribosomal RNA", at positions 524 to 776 of the family's 1533-position model. The record is from RNAcentral.
UACAGAGGUCUCAAGCGUUGUUCGGAUUCAUUGGGCGUAAAGGGUGCGUAGGCGGCGCGGUAAGUCGGGUGUGAAAUCUCGGGGCUUAACUCCGAAACUGCAUUCGAUACUGCCGUGAUUGAGGACUGGAGAGGAGACUGGAAUUUACGGUGUAGCGGUGAAAUGCGUAGAGAUGUGGAGGAACACCAGUGGCGAAGGCGGCUCUCUGGUCUGUAACUGACGCUGAGGCGCGAAAGCGUGGGGAGCGAACAGG